RNAcentral lists this ribosomal RNA (233 nucleotides) under uncultured bacterium. Its description in RNAcentral is "partial 16S ribosomal RNA". It matches the Rfam family "Bacterial small subunit ribosomal RNA", at positions 15 to 244 of the family's 1533-position model. The record is from RNAcentral.
GAUCAUGGCUCAGAUUGAACGCUGGCGGCAUGCUUUACACAUGCAAGUCGGACGGCAGCACAGGGAAGCUUGCUUCUUGGGUGGCGAGUGGCGAACGGGUGAGUAACAUAUCGGAACGUACCGAGCAGUGGGGGAUAACUAAUCGAAAGAUUAGCUAAUACCGCAUAUUUUCUGAGGAAGAAAGCAGGGGACCUUUGGGCCUUGCGCUGUUUGAGCGGCCGAUAUCUGAUUAG